GCUCCCAGUAGACGACUGGGUUGAUAGGCCAGAUGUGGAAGCCCGGUAACGGGUGGAGCUGACUGGUACUAAUAGGCCGAGGGCUUGUCCUC
This 92-nucleotide ribosomal RNA is filed under the name Streptomyces microflavus. Its description in RNAcentral is "partial 23S ribosomal RNA". It matches the Rfam family "Bacterial large subunit ribosomal RNA", at positions 2833 to 2925 of the family's 2925-position model. RNAcentral also lists the same sequence under 1 other name. The record is from RNAcentral. Lineage: Bacteria; Bacillati; Actinomycetota; Actinomycetes; Kitasatosporales; Streptomycetaceae.